GCCAGAGUGGCUCAGUCGGUAGAGCGGCGCACUCGUAAUGCGCAGGUCUGGGGUUCGAUUCCCCACUCUGGCU
RNAcentral lists this transfer RNA (73 nucleotides) under Treponema sp. Its description in RNAcentral is "tRNA-Thr". It matches the Rfam family "tRNA". Rfam says of the family: Transfer RNA (tRNA) molecules are approximately 80 nucleotides in length. Lineage: Bacteria; Pseudomonadati; Spirochaetota; Spirochaetia; Treponematales; Treponemataceae. The record is from RNAcentral.